ACCAUUCUUUUCUUGGGGUUGCACUACUAUCCAAUAAGUGUGUAGUGAGGACGGUACUGCUAACACCUAAGCAACACCAGAGCUCUCUGCUUUACUUUGGUGUGAUUUUUGGAAAA
Eptesicus fuscus (big brown bat) is the source of this 116-nucleotide small nuclear RNA. RefSeq annotates it as U4atac minor spliceosomal RNA. The record is from RefSeq and is a predicted model, not a curated record. The transcript has a single exon. Lineage: Eukaryota; Metazoa; Chordata; Mammalia; Chiroptera; Vespertilionidae.